AAGUCGUAACAAGGUUUCCGUAGGUGAACCUGCGGAAGGAUCAUUAUCGAGUCUUUGGUUGGGUUGUCGCUGGCCGCAAGGCAUGUGCACACCCGCCUUAUCCACUCUCAACUUCUGUGCACUAUCGCAUGUAGGGUUGGCUUUGUGAUGGUGACUGGCUUCGCGGCUGGUCGUCGUUGUAUCGCCGCCUUGUGUGUCUCUUACCACAAACGAUUCAGUUAUAGAAUGUCUUUAUUUGCGGAUAACGCAACUAUAUACAACUUUCAGCAACGGAUCUCUUGGCUCUC
This 287-nucleotide unclassified non-coding RNA is filed under the name air metagenome. RNAcentral's name for it is "partial contains small subunit ribosomal RNA, internal transcribed spacer 1, and 5.8S ribosomal RNA". The stretch from base 1 to 46 matches the Rfam family "Eukaryotic small subunit ribosomal RNA", at positions 1786 to 1831 of the family's 1831-position model. The record is from RNAcentral.